UCUUGACGAAGAUACAAGUGAGGCACACGCCGAGCGAGAAGUUCUUCGUUCCUGGAGGAAUGGAGAGGCAAAAACCAAGACGAUGAUCAGCUCCCAGGUGUUUUCCCUUUUGUUAAACUCGAGAGAAACCACUGACUCACCUAUGAUCAACAGCACCACCAUCGAGAAUGCAGCAGCCUGGAGAGUUCCAUACAUGACAAAGGCAGCAUCUUCGAGAGCUUUGCCGAGUGCCGACUCGCUGAGCACGAGAACUGUGACAACGUAUCCAAAGACAGGGAAUUCAACAAAACGGCUGGCUUUGGACACACCAAGCAAGACAAGUAAGCAUGCAAUUCCAGUUCUUAGAGCGGAUAGCAGCCGUGACAGCCACGGGACGCUGUCGGAAGCUAACGCGUCCAUCUUUUCACUAGCAAUCUUCUCUUCUCUUUGAGAGUGUGUGUAGGAGGUCCAACUUGCGGAGUGUGAGCUCUUUAAAUAAGUGGGAUGGAGCAAAAGCUUAAAAAUGGUGGAGGAAUGUUUCUCUGUGGUGACGAACCAAGCGC
This 542-nucleotide long non-coding RNA is filed under the name Selaginella moellendorffii. RNAcentral describes it as "long non-coding RNA (SMOE_LNC001371)". The record is from RNAcentral. Lineage: Eukaryota; Viridiplantae; Streptophyta; Lycopodiopsida; Selaginellales; Selaginellaceae.